AGCUGGAUCUGCUGGCUGCUUCAGGGGUGCAGCGCGGUGCCUUAGCCCUGCAGCGCUGCCGACCGGACUUUUAACGGCCUGGUUGGCAGUGCUGACCGGAGCCGCCAGGGUCCCUUUUCAACCAGGCCACGCCUGGUAACCCUAACCGCGCCCCUCGGCGUAGGUGGGGCCGGGCAGUGUCGCAGCAUAGCACUGCAGCCCUGGUCUGUACAGGGUGGCUUUGGGCCCACUGCUCUUCAUGGCACUGCCCACCUGGGCCUGUCUGUGGAGUCCCGUGACUGACCCACACCCGGGCUGGGCGAGAGGGGGGGCAGUGGCCUGGGACUGUUCGUAGCACCGCCCCCAAGGGCCUGCGUCUCCCGGACACCCUCUGAGCCGAGGAGCCGGUUUAUCCGGGCCAAGGCCCCGCCCAUAGGGGUCACCCCUACGUUCCGGGUACCCCGCUAUGGGGGAGGGGUGACCCCUACGUGCCAGGCCGCCCCGCCCACAGCCCAGUGAGCCUCCCCCUCCCCCCCUUCCGGACCCGAGCUGGUACCCAAUCGUGAGAGCCGAGCUGGCCCGACACUCCGCGCAGAAGCGGCCAAUGGCCGGCUGGGCGGGGCGGGACUGAGGGCAGCAGCCGGGUAGGGUGAGCGGCGGCUGAGGACGGGGUUUGGGUGAGGCGUACAGCGUGCGCGUGUCUAUCUGGGGCCAGGGAGAGAGGCAGGCGGCUCAAGGUGACGUUAUGCCCCCGUGCCGGGCCCGGCGCACGUGGGUGCGAGCGGGCCGGGAAGGGGGGGAGAGGAGGAAGAGGCGGCCGCAGGGAGUAGAACUGACUGGACACAGUUUUACAGCAGUGGUCUCACCAGUGCCAACUACGGAGAGUCACUGCUUCCCAGAAUAGAGACCCCCAUCCUGAUCCGAAAGGACAAACAGAUGAGUUAUGAAAGCAGUAAUACUUGUUCAAUAAACACAAGUCUAUUACUAGCAAACCCGAUAAAAAUUCUGCAAAACUUGUAUUAGCCUGUUCCUACAAAUCCCAUAAUCCCCAGCCACCACCUGUUGGUGCUCCUCACUUCAGCGGGAAGUUUAUUAGCUCACUGUGCCAAUUCUUGUGUUGAAACAGUCCCGUGUCUACACACACACUGAUGGAGGUUGGAAGAAUUCUGCUUUUUAGACAUGGUGUUCCGUCCUCUCUGAAAAGAAAGGCCCCUGACCAUGAAAACUGUGACAAUGAAGAACCAUCCUUGAAAAUGAACUGUGCAAAUGCUUCCUCAAGUAACAUUGUCCUGCAGUCAACCCAAAACCAAACAGGAUAAUGAUCCUUGUGCCAGUAUAUCAAUGGCCACCAACUACACAUCUAAGGAUGUCCUGUGUGCUCUGACAUCACCAGCGGGGGCAGAAGGUUUUGUUCAUGACAGGAAAAACAUCAUCUCCACAGCUUAUUUCAUUGCACAAAGAGGAACAACCAACACAGCCUAAGGUGGAUUUAUAUCCUACAGAUGGUGGACGUUUCAACUGUAGUUGGUUUUCUUUGUACCCCUUUAUUGAAUACUCAGUUGUAGAGGAUUCUGUUUUUUGCUUUCCAUGCCAUCAUUUUGCUACUCAAAGCAAAAUUGGACCAGGAGAACAAUUCAACAACAGAACAUUCAUUGGGCAUAGCUUUAAGAAAUGGAAAGAUUUUCAUAGUUUGUUAAAACAACAUCCAUUCAGUUCCAGGCAUAUGGCAGUUUUCAUUUCAUCGCAAAACUACUUGAAACUUAGGAUCAGCAGUUCAAAAAGGGUUGCAGAUCAACUUGUUUCUAGUUGUCAGGCUCCAUAGCUGAAAAUUGCCAGCAUAUUGAGACACUCUUAGAGGUAUCCAGGCACUGCGUGGUAUUGCUUUUCCAGGGCAUGAUGAAAUACGUAACUCUAGCAAUCAAGGCAAUUUCAUGGAAAUUCUUGAGCUGGUUGCUUCCACUCAGCCCAGCCUUUUGAAUAGAUUCAGAACAAGUAUGGACACUGUGAUCCAGUGUGUCUGGGGCAGCCCUUACUGGAAAUGCCAAGUUCAGGGCAGGCUGCAAAAGGGAGAGCAGAUACUUUCAGGGUAACCCUGAAGUUAAACUCCCCAGCCAGUCACAAAUUGUGCUCCCGAUCCCCCACACUGGUUAUUGAGAAGCUGAAAAAGGAAAUCACACAGCCCUCUUUAUUGCAUUCCAGUUCUCUCGCUCCCAGUCAGCACACAGGUCCAGUACAGUGAGAAACUAUUUAAACUCUGCUCACAUAUACAAAAUGUUCUUCUGACCCCAAAUGGUCAGCCACUUUACCAGGUCAGUAUAGGUUUGGAGCUUACUCAAAAUACCACACUGACAGCCAAUCCUUUAACAUCUAAAACUAAAUGUUUAUUGUAAAGAAAAAAGAACAAGAAGAGAGAUGUUAAAUGGUAAAGCACUCACAUACAUACCAAGAUUCAAAGUUCAUGUAUCAGACUCCUAGCAUUGGUGAGUUUAUUGGCUUGAAAGUCCCUCUGGAACACAUCCACAGCUUGGAUGGGUCAUUCAGUCCUUUGUUCAGAGCUUUGUUUGAAGAAAGGUUACUCCAGAGGUAAGAAGCAGGACUGAAGACAAAAUGGAAAAGAUGCAGUUGCCUUUUAUGGUCUUUUGCCACGUGGCUUGUGCUUCCUUUGUUCCAAACACAAGCUGCCCAGCACAUGGCCUGGAAGCCUUAGAGUUCUAUCCAUAUGCAUGCUGAGUCAUAAGGUGUAGCCCUUGACCCUUUCAGUGGGUUAAUUGUACAGUUGAUGUUCCUUGAUGAGCCAUCAAGCAGGCUAGGCCGUGCUGAUGCCAAACUCUCUGGGGGUGUCACCCAGAAGCAUAGCACAAGUUUGAAAUACAGACAUACGUACAUACCUAUAACUCAUAAUACAAAAGUGAUACAAACAUAUAAACAAGAUUAUUAUACUUGACAAAUUAUAACAUUUUUGCAGAUAUCUUACAUGGCAUAUCUGGCACAACGCAUUGCAAUUUUACAAUAUUGGUGUAAAUAUCCUAAAGUGUCAUAAUAUCCUAAAGUGCCCCCCAAAUUCCAUACAGCGUCACAGACACUGUACCUCUCACCAGUACCAGAAUGAUUUAAUACAUUCUGCAGCAGAACUCCUGAGAGAAAGCAUUGUUGAAGAGGUUGGACAAGCAAGUAUUUUUCAGUCCUUAUUGAUGAAACUAAAGAUGCAAUUAAAAAAAAAAAAAGAACUGUGUCCCCUUUUUUGCUACUAUCGAAAAGGAAUCAUUCAGGAACGAAUUCUGGGCUGCUGCCACAUGGAAAAUCUAAAUGCUGAAUCUGUUUAAAAAUGAUUAUUGAAGAACUACAGCAUUUGAAGCUUGAUAUUAAUUACAUUGUUGCUCAGUGCUAUGAUGGAGCUUCUAUCUGGGUGGGCACUUAACAGGAGUACAAGGUCAAAUUCAGGAAAGGAUUAUGCCUGCUAUUUAUGUGCACUGCCAUGCUCGCAGGCUUAAUCUUGUCAUUGCAGAUACAUAUUCCAGCAUCACCCAGUAUCAGGAAGUCUUUGCAUUUGCCAAGGAAUUGUACAUCUUUUUUAGCAGUGGUUACAAGCACCAUGAACUGUUUAAGGCACAGCAGGAGCUAGGCCAGAAGGUACUUGAGCUAUGUACAGUAUGUGAAACUCGCUGGUCGUACCAGUAUGACUCCCUCUGAAAACUGCAUGUAAGUUACGGCACUGUAGUGGAAACACUGGAAGCCAUUUCAGUUCAGAGAGCUGAUGGACCAUCAGUUAGCUCUGGAAAGGACUUGAUGGUAAGGCUAAGGAGCUAUCCCUUUCUGUUGAAUCUCUUGGUUUUGGAAAGAAUAUUCAAAAUUUUUAAUAGUGCUUUAGAAGAACUGCAGAAUAAAAAAUUGAAUUUAUCAAGUGCCAUGGAAUUAGUAGCAAGCAAUGUUGCUAUUCUUCAAGAAAUAAGAACAUCUGAAAGCAAAUGGAAAGUACUAUGUGAUGAAGAUGAGAUCAUUGCCAAGGAACUUGAAACUGGUAGUUCGGGUCAGGCAGUUGGACCCUAUCAGCACAGCAAUACAAAAAAUGGCAAGAAGACCUAACAAAGUAUCCUUCAAGCUGGCUUAUUUGUUUCUAGUACACUGAGUCAGUCAUUGACACAUGAUGUUCCCAAGAGCACUCAAUCUAUAAAAUCUGAUUUCUACUAUCCUGUUCUGGACAGAAUUCUUGCUGAGCUUGAUAAGAGGAUUCAACUUCAACUCCAGUUUACUUUCUGCACUAACUGCUUGUGACCCAAAAAGUGAAAAUUUUCUUGAUUAUGAGAAAUUGAAAAUAAUUGCAGGAUCAACAGGUACCAUUUUUUGUGAUCUGGAUGCAGAAGUUGAAGUUGCCAAGAAGCACAUUGCACCAAAAAAAUUGACUUCAAUUUCUGAAUUCUGGAAUGUUCUCAGUGACAUACCAAGGGGUUACCAGUCUUUGCUGUCUAGUGUAGAUUUUGUGUUGAGCCUUCCAGUCUCUACAGCAUCACGUGAAAGGUACUUAUCUGUGCUCAAGAAAGUAAAGGACUAUUUAAGAUCCACAAUGGGAGAGGAAUGCUUAAGUGACUUGGUAAUUUUAGUCUGUGAAUGUGAAGCUUCAAAACACCAGGAUAUCAACAAGGCCGUUAACAAUUUUUCCAAGAUGAGACCAUGCCAUUAUCCAUUGUAUUAGCUCAUAUCUGGAGUAGUAUUGAUUGUUUUUUUAAUAAUUUAUUUACCUUUAAACAUUCCUGGAAUAAAUUUAUCUGUCUCAUUCUCAUUACCCCGCUCCUGCCCUGAAGGGCUUAAAACAGCCCUGGGGGAAGGUUGUGGCUGGGAGCUGCUAAGCUGGGCUGAUUGGGAAGCAGCUGCAGCUGGGCCACACCCCAAUCAGGCCUCAGCUGGCCCUAUAUAAAAAGGCUGUGAGCCAGAGGCCAAACAGUCCCUCUCUUUGCCUUCAGAGGGAGAAGGGCUUGGCUGCAGCGAGCUAGAGACCGAGUACCUAUGUGGAGCAGGGCUGGGGACAGGCUGAGGAGUUAGGGAGCUCCAGCCUGGAAAGCCCCAGGCUGCGGCCUAGUAGGAGGCCAAGGGGUACUGGGGAUUGCAGAGGGCAGC
Chrysemys picta bellii (western painted turtle) is the source of this 5091-nucleotide non-coding RNA. NCBI's taxonomy places the organism in Eukaryota, Metazoa, Chordata, Testudines, Emydidae. The record is from RefSeq and is a predicted model, not a curated record.